This 491-nucleotide ribosomal RNA is filed under the name uncultured bacterium. RNAcentral's name for it is "partial 16S ribosomal RNA". It matches the Rfam family "Bacterial small subunit ribosomal RNA", at positions 28 to 507 of the family's 1533-position model. The record is from RNAcentral.
GAUGAACGCUGGCUACAGGCUUAACACAUGCAGGUCGAGGGGAAACGACGGGGAAGCUUGCUUCCCCGGGCGUCGACCGGCGCACGGGUGAGUAACGCGUAUCCAACCUGCCUCUGACUGAGGGAUAACCCGUCGAAAGUCGGCCUAAUACCUCAUGGCAUCGUCUGCGGGCAUCCAACGACGAUUAAAGAUUUCAUCGGUUAGGGAUGGGGAUGCGUCUGAUUAGCUUGUUGGCGGGGUAACGGCCCACCAAGGCUACGAUCAGUAGGGGUUCUGAGAGGAAGGUCCCCCACAUUGGAACUGAGACACGGUCCAAACUCCUACGGGAGGCAGCAGUGAGGAAUAUUGGUCAAUGGGCGGGAGCCUGAACCAGCCAAGUAGCGUGCAGGAGGACGGCCCUAUGGGUUGUAAACUGCUUUUAUGCGGGGAUAAAGUGAGGGACGUGUCCUUCAUUGCAGGUACCGCAUGAAUAAGGACCGGCUAAUUCCGUG